AUUGGAAUAUCUCGAAAACUUAAAAGACUAACUUGACAUCUUUUAAAAUCGAAAGAGUACAAAUAAAAUUGGACUAAGAUUGAGGGGAUAUUUGUAUAAUUUAUUCAAAAAAUUAAUAAUUGGAUUAAAUAUAAACUCAUCCAAAAAUUACUUACCUUUUGAUCGUGCUCCAGGAGAUGGUCCUAAAAAAAUAAUGAUAAUAACAAUAAGUAUCUUUUAUAAUUUCUUUUCUACUUUUAAAAAAAUUUAUAUCCCUAAUUCUUUAUUCUAAUCCCAAGAUCCCAAGAAAUGAAUGAAAUCAGAAAAUCUACCCAUAGAUCCGGAUCUCUUAUGCCAUC
Molecule: long non-coding RNA, 338 nt
Filed under: Elaeis guineensis (African oil palm)
Lineage: Eukaryota; Viridiplantae; Streptophyta; Magnoliopsida; Arecales; Arecaceae
Description: long non-coding RNA (EGUI_LNC012998)
Source: RNAcentral